RNAcentral lists this transfer RNA (95 nucleotides) under Limimaricola soesokkakensis. Its description in RNAcentral is "tRNA-Glu". The record is from RNAcentral. Lineage: Bacteria; Pseudomonadati; Pseudomonadota; Alphaproteobacteria; Rhodobacterales; Paracoccaceae.
CUGCGGGUGGUGCGCGGCAAGACCGCGGCGUUGUUCUCGGCGGCGACCGAGGUUGGCGGCAUCAUCGCCGGCGCGUCGGAAUCGCGCGUCGCGGC